Molecule: long non-coding RNA, 1528 nt
Organism: Cydia splendana
Lineage: Eukaryota; Metazoa; Arthropoda; Insecta; Lepidoptera; Tortricidae
Exons: 2
Source: RefSeq, a predicted model, not a curated record
UGUCACAGCGAUACCAAAGAGAAUUUGACUAGAGGAAUAGAAAGGCCACAGGUAUGGCGCCAUCGCACGAAAAGAUGGCACCAUAGCUUUGGCAUAUCCUCGAAUAGAUGGCGAUACUUUUUGACAUUAAGAAACACAUAUCAGUGAAAAAAUAAGGAUCAAAGUCAAAUGGCGUUCUAAAAGUGUUAAUCAUUUGGGUCGAAAGAUGGCAGUAAAAGUUACAUAAUUUACUUUGAUAAUAUUCCUCUAUUUCAAAUUAGCUUUGGCGAUACUCUACCGGCCUGUUAGUGUCAAAAGUGACAUUUCUUCAACCAAAAACGUCACUUUUGACACUGAUCGAUCGGUAUCGUAUCCCUGUGGCAUCUUAUAAGCAUUGUUAGAAUUGGGCCGCGAGGUGCUAUGGGGAAAAUAUCCGUUUCGUUUCUAUGGUAACACAAAUAAAACCUACAAUACGUUGCAGUCGCUUUGCGGAAUAAAUGGAAGGGACCCCUGAAACCGAAUAUCAUGGAUCACGUUCCUAGGUUUCUCGAUUUAAUCUUGGAGGCUGUUUUCCAUUGAUUUUGUAAUGGUUUAUGAAAUACAACGUAGGUAUAGAUUCAGAAAUAUAGUCCCAUUUUUUAACCUUUCGACGCCGUGUCAAACACAAAAGCUGUCACUCGGACGCCACGCCCACGCCACCCAAGUGUCAAAACUGAAAUUGAACUUUAAGCAUAUGCACGUACGUCUAUGUUGCUCUGUGGUCUGUGACCGAUUAAUCGGUCUUUGGCGUUGAAACUGCGGUGCGGUUGAUUGUUAUUAAACUAGAUCGUUGCAUCAGAUACAUCAGAGCGGCCGAGGUGUUCACAAAUAUCUGAACACACCUCUUUUCUGAAGGCAAUUAGAGUGCGUGUUCAGACAUUUAUGAGUACCUCGGCCGUUCAGAUAUUUUGGUGUACCAAAAAUGUAAUUUUGACGAGCUGUUCAUAAGAUUCAAUAGAGAUGGUCUCUAGAUGAAAUGUUUAUUUAAUUCAUAUUUCAUUAAUGUUUAAUUUUGUUUGACAUUGGCAGGAGUAAUUAUUUCUCAUCUCUGACCUUACCUUUACCAGGCUAAAUAUUUCCGAGAUGUGUUCUAUUUUCGAUGAGUAAGACUGACACUCGAUUGUCAUUUUCAGACAUAGAAAUCCGCAGGGCAAAUUGUGAAUUAGACUUUAUGUUUGUGCACUUAUGGUACUACAUAAUUACAACAAAAUAGUUAAAAAUUAGUUUUAAUUGCCUAAUCGUUUUAAAACAGCCUAAAUUUUGUUGUAAUUAGUACCAUAAGUGCACAAACAUAAAGUCUUACUUAAUUCACAAUUUGCCCCGCGGAUUCCUAUGUCCAUUUUUAAAAUGUCUGCCUGGUAAAGGGUUAAAAUAUUUACUAUUGACGAGUGUUUCGUAUGAUUGAGUGUGUCAUGUAAUUUUGUAAAGUUUGUGUAUCUUGGAUGUAUUUAUACGGAUUGUUAUCAAAUAAAUUAUGUAGAUGAAAUUAAAUAAAUAUAUUUUUCAAAAA